This is a transfer RNA of Ipomoea nil (Japanese morning glory), 74 nucleotides long. It matches the Rfam family "tRNA". From Rfam's summary of the family: Transfer RNA (tRNA) molecules are approximately 80 nucleotides in length. Their secondary structure includes four short double-helical elements and three loops (D, anti-codon, and T loops). NCBI's taxonomy places the organism in Eukaryota, Viridiplantae, Streptophyta, Magnoliopsida, Solanales, Convolvulaceae. The record is from Rfam.
GUCGUUGUAGUAUAGUGGUGAGUAUCCCCGCCUGUCACACGAGAGACCUGGGUUCUCAAUCCCCGGCAACGGCG